UGUGGUGGCGAUAGCAAGAAGGAUACACCUGUUCCCAUGCCGAACACAGAAGUUAAGCUUCUU
RNAcentral lists this ribosomal RNA (63 nucleotides) under Lacticaseibacillus rhamnosus. The record is from RNAcentral. Lineage: Bacteria; Bacillati; Bacillota; Bacilli; Lactobacillales; Lactobacillaceae.